This is a long non-coding RNA of Amphiprion ocellaris (clown anemonefish), 2023 nucleotides long. NCBI's taxonomy places the organism in Eukaryota, Metazoa, Chordata, Actinopteri, Pomacentridae. The record is from Ensembl.
GGAAGAGGUAUAUGGUGAAGGAGGACAGUUAGCGGACGAUCUAACACAAUGAAUCGGUAGUUUGGACUACGAUCGAUAUGCUAAAGAGUGACUAAUUUAAAAUCAUCAAGCUAUUAAUGACAUCAACCCAAAUCAGGAACAGAUAAAGGUUAGCGUUUUCCUACGUUUGUAUAGGGCUGUGCAGGUUGGAGCCUCCGUUCGGCUGGAACCCAGUGGAAGGCCGGAAACGUCCUCACGAUGCACCCAGGCUUUCUCUUCCCGAAGCGUCGUGUGGUCGCUAGGCAACGAGUUAUGCCGUUGGAGCUCUCGGCGCAGUAUCGAGCGUCUGCCAGCAGACGUCUGAAGUAAGGCAGUCGGUGAUGAGUCAAGCCGCCCGGGUUCAGUGCGCUGUCUUGUAUGGGGCAAAUUACACACAGAAAAUUAUUGCAGCCAGAAUGAGAUUUUAUUUUAAACAAGGGACGGGAAAACAGCAGCGUUCCAAGGGGGAACUGUUGACAUCGGCACUGUUGCACCUGGGUCACUUUAGGGGGAGGGAAACCGCGGCACCCCAGAUGUAACCUGGAGGCCGGAAUGUGUCAAGUGUCUUCAUUGCUGCGCAUUAUCUCCUGUACUUUACAGGUGGAGAUGUGUGGAUACGUAAGAACACUGGAGAGAGGACAAGAGAAAUUCUCAACACAUGGCAACUCAUAUAAGACGUAACAUCUGUGAAUGAUACAGUAUUCUGAGCACAACAUGCUGUUAAAGCUUCUAUGGAAAAAACAACUCCCAAACGGCUGUGAAAUCAGCUCUGCUGAGCAAGAGGAAGAAGAGGAAUGGGUUGCGUGGCAGGGCCAAACAGGAGGCUGUCGGAGACACUGUGUGUUCAAACUGUCCAACUGACAGGAUGUCCAGGGGGAACACAUGUAAAUAGUCUGCCCAUGUAAAAUAAUCUAGAACAAAUAUUGCAAAUGAAGGUGGAACUGGAUCCGUCAGCUUAUGCGUCUGCGCUGAAUGAAAGGCUCUCAGUAAAACCUUGACAGCAGCUCUGUAAUCCAUCAGCAGACUUCAAAGCUAGUCUUUUAGUUCGAAAAACCUUCUCCUUUUACCCUUUCCUCUUACUGGGCAGGAGCUCCAAACCUGACCUUUCAAAAAAGUGAAUUAAAAACAACCUUGAGCAGGCAGACAGAGGCCAAAACAGGAGCUCGGUAACACUUUUGCAUGUCUCGGUUUCCCCAGCUCCCUCAUUUGCAUCUGCAAAUCCUGGUGGAUUUGGUGCCACUUUUGACAAGAUCCGAAAAAAACCCACAUGAGACAAAAGAUAAAAGCAGUCAGAAGAGGAAGUGAUAAACAUGUAUAAUGCUGUGUAAGAAGCAGCGCAGACAAAUAUGGGGAUUUGUGUCAUCAUUUGGUUAUAAAUCCCUCUCCACACAGUGACAACAGCCCAACUGUUAAUGGAAUAAAACACUUAUAAAGAGCUGAAGCAGUAGUUAUGUAAUUCAUGAUCUAACUUCAGAAGGGGUUGUUUGAUGUGACACUAACUCUCUCCCUUGCUGAGUAAAUGUUACAAGCCUAACCUUCUUGUGAUGUCAAAGGAAACCAUUGGGGGAAAACUAAAUUCCUAGAAGAGCUGUUGCACAUCAAAUCCUUCAAGAGUAAACUAUCCAACAUGGGUUAUUUGUCCAUGGAAGCAUAAAAUUGUGUCAUUCAUCCUGUAAUAGAGAGAUGAAUUCCUGAUGCCACUGAAGGGCUUGUAGCCAUUUGAUGAGCUUCUGAAGCUGAAUAGAAUUUGUCAUUGUCUUUAUUUUUUCCUUUUCUGAGGAAAUGAAUCAUGUUAUUGGGAUUCUAGGAUAAACAAGUAUAAAUUACAUCAAUUUUCGUUUAGUGAUUUAUUAUGUGAACCCUCCAAUACAAUAAAAACAAUAUAUAUAUUUAAUGGGACAUUGUCACUACAUCCCGGGCUGUGACUGCUUUUUUUUAAAAAAAAUACAAGUCAGAGCUUUUUUUUCUCCUAUAGCAGAAUGACGAGAUGCAACCAGACCAUUCA